This 4320-nucleotide long non-coding RNA is filed under the name Salmo salar (Atlantic salmon). RNAcentral describes it as "lncRNA (ENSSSAG00000122004.1)". The record is from RNAcentral. Lineage: Eukaryota; Metazoa; Chordata; Actinopteri; Salmoniformes; Salmonidae.
UAUGUAUCUGUAUCUAUGGAGACUCCCCAUGAUGUGGCUCCUGACGUCAGCCUUACUGAGACGACACACACACACCUCACACAGGUACACCGCCUCAGAGUCCCGGCCGAGCGUCACACACUCUGUCACGUAGCUCAAACCUGAAACACACACACACACACACACACACAGGUCAAAGUAGACACAUUGGUCAAAUACCCCAUACAUGUAUCACACACAUACAAACACACAGAUACACACACAUAUACACACGGCUGUUCCUGACCGAUGAUGGGCUGCAGUCUGUUCUUGUUGUUUAGAUACACCCUGAGGGCGAUGGACAGCAGGCUCUGCCCACACACAGCUACGUGACAAUGAGAGAAUGAAUGAAUGAAUGAAUGAUGAAUGAAUGAAUGAAUGAAUGAAUGAGUGAAAGAAUAAAGAAAUGAUAACCCAUAGGCUACCUUUAUGUGCUCGUUCAGGCUGCAUAGUGGCAGACUAACACCCUAACAACCUAAAGGGAGAGAGGGAGAAAAGAGAGAGGAGGAGUUAAUGAGGGAGAAGGAAAGGAAACACUAUGUAUGCAGACACCACAAAGUGGCGCAACUACACCACUAGUAAUAUCUGUAUAAUGUAUUAGCUAGCUGCUAGGCUACACCACUAGUAAUAUCUGUAUAAUGUAUUAGCUAGCUGCUAGGCUACACCACUAGUAAUAUCUGUAUAAUGUAUUAGCUAGCUGCUAGGCUACACCACUAGUAAUAUAUGUAUAAUGUAUUAGCUAGCUGCUAGGCUACACCACUAGUAAUAUCUGUAUAAUGUAUUAGCUAGCUGCUAGGCUACACCACUAGUAAUAUAUGUAUAAUGUAUUAGCUAGCUGCUAGGCUACACCACUAGUAAUAUAUGUAUAAUGUAUUAGCUAGCUGCUAGGCUACACCACUAGUAAUAUAUGUAUAAUGUAUUAGCUAGCUGCUAGGCUACACCACUAGUAAUAUCUGUAUAAUGUAUUAGCUAGCUGCUAGGCUACACCACUAGUAAUAUCUGUAUAAUGUAUUAGCUAGCUGCUAGGCUACACCACUCUCUACAUCUGUGUCAGUUUGACUUUUGCCAUUUCAUAGCACCCAUUUUUAGGUGAAUUACAUGUAAUCUGAUUAUUAAAAAAAAACAAGCUAAUCAGCUACUUUACCAGCAACAAAUAUUGUAAUCAGAUUACAGAUACUAUAGAAAAACUUGAGGAUUACAUCUUGGAUUACUUUUAAAUUCAGAAAGGAUGUUUGCAAAUAAAAUUACAUUAUGACACUUUUCUGUUUUCUCAACCACAUUCAAAUCCGAGUUGAAAAAAGCCCCAAGUUUGUUUGUUCCACCUUAGCAAGUCUGACCACAAGUCAGAGACCACUGUGAAGACACACCAAAUGCAUUUUAUGGAUCUUCUUCUAAAGUCUCUUGAGGGGAAAGUAAUCCAAAAGUAACUGAAAGUAAUCCGAGUUGGGUAAUCCAAAAGUUCAGUUACUGAUUACAAUUUUGGACAGGUAACAGGUAACUGUAACGGAUUCUGCCUGCCUGACUAACUAUCAAUAUUUUUUUCCCAGCUGUUUAUCAAAACUAAAGUAAUAUCCAAGAAACUUAACUGAAACAUCAGAAUAAAAACAUUUUUACUAAUUAACUACCAAUUCAGAGCUCGUAUGAAACUUAAGGAUAAAUGUCUCGCCAAACUAACGUUAGCUAGCUAAUCCAUUCAUAGACACUGGCUAGCUUCUAGAAAUAACAUUUGCUAAUGAAACUCCGGUGAUAGUUAGCUACAUUACAUAGAAGCCAGCAAGCAGCUAACCUAAGUAAAAGUUGUUAGCCAUAUGCUAAUUAACGUUUAAAAAUAAUAUAAUGAACACCUACCUGUCUGUACACCACGUCGGAGUAAAUGGUGUGUUUGAUAUGUCUGUCUGAAUGAAGUUAAAACUUUUAACAAAAAACGUUUAACUUAAAAAAUAAUAAUAAUACAUUACAAACACUGAUUAUUAGCAAUUUAGCGACCACACUACGCAAGGACUACAAGAGGACAGUUGCUCACACCGCGGGGGAAAGUCGAGAGAAGAGCUAAGCUCUUAGCGAUAAGGGAGAUUUAUUUCAGUCUUUCCUUUCCUUGCCAAAGAGUUUGAGGUGAUGAUAAGAUAAUGAUUAUUUAUUCGGUCAAAUGAUCCACAAUAAGAUUCUAGUCUUUGAUCCCCACAGGCAACCCGCGAGAGCUCAAAAAGUUUCAAUUAUCUUGUCACGCAUGGUGACAUGAAGUGAACUUAGCUAUACAACACGAAAUAACAAAACAGCCACAAAGACCGUUUCUGUAUGAAGAGUUCCCUGUGUAAUGACAACAUCAACUGAACAAAACCCUCUGCCAGCCAAACGUGGACUGCCAUGCGAAAAGAUGACCAUCCUCAGUGAGCUGUCUGCCUGUCUCUGUCCUUGUGUUUCCUAUCUGCAGCGAUUCCCAGACGUGCUCUCUAUCUGGCUCUCACUACUCAGCAGCUGAUAAAAUCUUGGAACAGCUUCCCUUUCUCACCCCCUUUCCUUCAUCCAGAGAGGCAGGUUGGUGGGUUUGAAGGAAAUGAAAUGAGGUCGCAGUUGUAAAUGAGAACUUGGUCUCAACUGGCCUACCUGGUUAAAUAGAGAUCAUCGCUGGAGGUUCUGGGCUGCGGGCCGCUGCUGGAGGCGCCGGACCGUCGCUGGAGGCUCCGGACUGGGGAGCGUCGCUGGAGGCUCCGGAGUGGGGAGCGUCGCUGGAGGCUCCGGACUGGGGAGCGUCGCUGGAGGCUCCGGAGUGGGGAGCGUCGCUGGAGGCUCCGGACUGGGGAGCGUCUCUGUAGGUUUGGGACUGGGGACCGUCGCUGCAGGCUCCGUGCCAUGGAUCAUCGCUACAGGUUCCGCGCCAUGGAUCAUCACUGGAGGCUUUGUGCCAUGGAGUAUCAGUGGAGGCUUCGGACCAUUGAUCAUCACUGGAGGCUUCCUACGUGGAGCUGGAACAGGUCUCACCGGACUGGGGAGACGCACAGGAGACUGGGUGCGCAGAGCAGGCACAGGGUAUACUGGGCCGUAGAGGCGCACUGGAGGUCUGGAGCUUAGGGCUGGCACACCCCGUCCUGGCUGGAUGGUUAUUUGAGCCCAGCAAGGGUGGAGCGCUGGCACCGGACGAACUGGGCUGUGCUGGUGAACGGGGGGUACCGUGCGUAGAGCAGGCGCAGGAUAACCUGGGCCGAAGAGACGCACUGGAGACCAGAUACGCUGAGCCGGCGCACUUCUUCCUGGCUGCCGGCCAACUCUAGUACGGCAACGGUGAGGAGCUUGCACCGAGCGCACCAGGCUGUGAGUGCGCCCUGGCGACACAGUGCGCAUCACCGCAUAACACUGUGCUUGCUCGGUCACUCGCUCCCCACGGUAAGCACGGGGAGUUGGCUCAGGUCUCCAACCUGACUCUGCCAAUCUCCCCGUGUGCCCCCCCAAAAAUCUUUUUUGGGGGUGCCUCUCGCACUUGCCUCUUGGUGGAUAUAGUGCCUCGUAGUAUCGCCGCUCCGCUCUUGCUGCCUCGAUCUCCUCCUUAGGACGGCGAUACUCCCCAGCCUGCCUCCAGGGUCCUUUCCCGUCCAAUAUCUCCUCCCAAGUCCAUUUGUCCUGCUGAUCCCUACCACGCUGCUUGGUCCUUUGGUGGCGGGUGAUUCGGUCACGGCUGUCUAAAGGAUCGGACCAAAAUGCAACAUGGUUAUACUUCCACAUAUUUAUUUAUUCCGUGAAACGUUGCGAUACACAAAUAACUAGACUAACAGAAAACAACAAACCGUGACGCAGAGAGAAAAUAAACACUACUCAAAAGAUAAUCACCCACAAAAACAGGUGGGACAAACAUCAGCUUAAAACCAGCUGCCUCUAAUUGGAGAUCAUACCAAACAAAACCAACAUAGAAAUACAAAACUAGAAACUGAACAUAGAAAUACAAAACAUAGACAAACACCCCCUGUCACACCCUGACCUACUCUACCAUAGAAAAUAACAACUUACUAUGGUCAGGACGUGACAAUAACAAGUGCAAACUGUAUAUUUUGUUUAUGUAUACUACACUUUUUAACAUUUACUUUUUUAGAUACAAGACAGAAUAUUUUAAUUGCAAAUCAAAUGAAUGUUAAAUAAGUAAAUAUUCAGUUGAUGGUGGAUGUUUUUCUGAAUGUGUGUUAUUGUAGGUGUAUUAUUACAUUGAAUGUUUACAUUAUUUCUGUAUCUUAUAUGAUUGUGUUCUUAAUAAAAUGUGGAUAGGCCUAGGCCGUGUUGUCUUCCACACUUGGAAUACAACUGUUUCUGUUCUGG